UGGGGAAUUUUGCACAAUGGGGGAAACCCUGAUGCAGCGACGCCGCGUGAUUUAGAAGGCCUUCGGGUUGUAAAAAUCUUUUCUAUGGGAAGAAAAUGACAGUACCAUAGGAAUAAGGACCGGCUAAUUACGUGCCAGCAGCCGCGGUAAUACGUAAGGUCCGAGCGUUCUCCGGAAUCAUUGGGCGUAAAGGGUACGUAGGCGGGUAAGCAAGUUAGAAGUGAAAUCCUAUAGCUCAACUAUAGUAAGCUUUUAAAACUGCUCAUCUUGAGGUAUGGAAGGGAAAGUGGAAUUCCUAGUGUAGCGGUGAAAUGCGCAGAUAUUAGGAGGAAUACCGGUGGCGAAGGCGACUUUCUGGCCAUAACCUGACGCUGAGGUACGAAAGCGUGGGUAGCAAACAGG
Molecule: ribosomal RNA, 402 nt
Filed under: bacterium
Lineage: Bacteria
Description: partial 16S ribosomal RNA
Rfam family: Bacterial small subunit ribosomal RNA
Source: RNAcentral